UAAAUUUACAAAUUAUAAAUUUCAAUUUUUAAAUUGAUUUAUUACUUAAGUAUCUAUGACAAAUUCUUUUUUAAGAACGAUCGAUUAUAUAAUUUACUUUUUCCGUUUACCGUAACACAUUAAUAGUGAUAGUGUCACUUUAAUACCCGUGGGACGUUCGUUUGUAUAACUGAUAAAAUAGGUCAAGUUAUUUUCACCCGGUGACGAUUUGGGUAUAAAUUGAGCGUUUUCUCAUCAGAAUGAACAUUCACAAUCUUAAGCUAAUACACAAACAGACACACACACAGAGGAAAUUAUUUUGACAUUGCGAUACACUUAGGUAAAGACCACGUAUAAAAUGGCGGACAAGAAGGAUACUAGCGCGUUACUACCCGUAGCCAUGGUAGCGCUUUUCCAAAGCGGUUGUUUCUUGGGUGUCGGAUUAUUUCGUCCAGUGUUAAAGUUUCUACCAAAGGAUCCAGUGACGUUGAUAGGAACCGUGUACGGAUUGGCGGCGGUGGACAUGUUUGCGUAUUACUACUAUAAGAAUGGACAGAACAAUAAACAAGCGUGAUAAACAUGUUCACGUUAUCCUUUUAAACUGAUCACCAUACAUGCAGUGAUGCUGGAAUUCACCGAAUGUACUCCGAGUUCAUAGUUAUCAUGAUAUCAAAUGUUAUUUCAUAUGGAAUCAUGUACUGAUUUGUAGCAAACUAUCGCUAGUUCACUGUAUGAUUUACAAAAUAUUAUGCAAUAAAUAAAAAAUAGACAA
Molecule: long non-coding RNA, 751 nt
Organism: Mya arenaria
Lineage: Eukaryota; Metazoa; Mollusca; Bivalvia; Myida; Myidae
Exons: 2
Source: RefSeq, a predicted model, not a curated record